This is a long non-coding RNA of Bos indicus x Bos taurus (hybrid cattle), 397 nucleotides long. The record is from Ensembl. NCBI's taxonomy places the organism in Eukaryota, Metazoa, Chordata, Mammalia, Artiodactyla, Bovidae.
CUAAACCCAAAGAGAACUGUUUCCCUGAGAUUCUAUUUAAAUAAAGGUCCUGAUGAAAUCCACAUACCUUACUGUCAACCGAAGUGAUACUGAUUGACAGGGGAAAGAACUUCAGCUGGCAAGAAACAGGACGUCAUUGUGGAUUGAGGAAGUUUACCCCCAAAUUUUGAGGCUGAGAUGGAAAACGGAACUCCUGGCAUAAUUGCAUCGGCGGAGACCAGACCACAGAAUCUACAGGAUCAUCUUUCACUUUUAAUAUAUUGUGAAAAAUGUAAAAGUUAUCUAUUUGUUUUCUCUUGAUCAUAACAACUGAUUAACAGUUGGGCAGGUUAGUUCACAGAAGCAUGCAUUCAAAGCUAAGGUUCUAGAACAUGGUGUGUGUUAUAUGGAAAAAUCA